AGGGUCGGCCCAGGUUGCGGUCGACCGAGGCGAGCAACCUAGCCGUGGGGCUCCUGUCGAUGAUCGAUCGAGCCAUCGAAGGACGGUUCACGUUCGCAACUUCUGAUCGCAUCGAUCGGGACUCUGGAUGGAAGACGGGCUCGGGACUCGGGCGGUCCUGACGCAGACGGCAGAUUGAUUGGCGUGGUGCCGCCACCGGACGUUGCGCCAGGCAGGCAACUGCGUGUCUGCGUCGCCCACCUCCGUCAAGAGCAAUCAAUAAUCUGCCGAACGAAACAACUCGUCCCAGACUCAUCCUGCUGGUCCCUCAAUGUUAGCCGUCGACGACUCUGACAAGCACAAUGUCUUUGAAAACAAUGUCGAGAUUGAUAACUCCUAGCCAAGUUGCUUUUCAUAGAGCCCAAGUUGCAGGAGAUGAGCCAGAUAUUCCUUAUUAUGUAUGCAAAUGACAAUGUUCAAUGUCACCACUGGAAAUUUUAAGAUGGUCAAUAUUUGAGAUUUGACUAUUUAAA
Molecule: long non-coding RNA, 512 nt
Organism: Lolium perenne
Lineage: Eukaryota; Viridiplantae; Streptophyta; Magnoliopsida; Poales; Poaceae
Source: RefSeq, a predicted model, not a curated record